AGUGAACGCUGGCGGUAGGCCUAACACAUGCAAGUCGAACGGCAGCACAGUAAGCGCUUGCUCUUACGGGUGGCGAGUGGCGGACGGGUGAGGAAUACAUCGGAAUCUACUUUUUCGUGGGGGAUAACGUAGGGAAACUUACGCUAAUACCGCAUACGACCUACGGGUUAAAGCAGUGGAUCUUCGGACCUUGCGCGUUUGAAUGAGCCGAUGUCGGAUUAGCUAGUUGGCGAGGUAAAGGCCCACCAAGGCGACGAUCCGUAGCUGGUCUGAGAGGAUGAUCAGCCACACUGGAACUGAGACACGGUCCAGACUCCUACGGGAGGCAGCAGUGGGGAAUAUUGGACAAUGGGCGCAAGCCUGAUCCAGCCAUACCGCGUGAGUGAAGAAGGCCUUCGGGUUGUAAAGCCCUUUUGUUGGGAAAGAAAAGCAGCAGGUUAAUCCCCCGCUGUUCUGACGGUACCCAAAGAAUAAGCACCGGCUAACUUCGUG
This 492-nucleotide ribosomal RNA is filed under the name uncultured bacterium. Its description in RNAcentral is "partial 16S ribosomal RNA". It matches the Rfam family "Bacterial small subunit ribosomal RNA", at positions 29 to 507 of the family's 1533-position model. The record is from RNAcentral.